This 1514-nucleotide ribosomal RNA is filed under the name metagenome. RNAcentral describes it as "bacterial SSU rRNA". It matches the Rfam family "Bacterial small subunit ribosomal RNA". The record is from RNAcentral.
AGAGUUUGAUCCUGGCUCAGAACGAACGCUGACGGCGUGGCUAAGACAUGCAAGUCGUACGAAUUUUUUGAUUGAGUAAUCGAGAUAAAAGUUAGUGGCGAAAGGGUGAGUAAUGUGUAGAUAACGUACCCUGAACUCUGUGAUAACUGCGGGCUUCGGCCCUUUGCGAAAGUGCAGGUAAUACCGGAUGAUAUCUUUUGAUCGUAUGGUUGAAAGAUCAAAGGCUUCGGCUGGUUUUGGAGCGGUCUACAUCGUAUCAGCUAGUUGGUGAGGUAACGGCUCACCAAGGCAUCGACGCGUAGCGGGACUGAGAGGUUGACCCGCCACAUUGGGACUGAGAAACUGCCCAGACCCCCACGGGGGGCUGCAGUAACGGAUAUUGCGCAAUGGACGAAAGUCUGACGCAGCGACGCCGUGUGUAGGAAGAAGCCCCUCGGGGUGUAAACUACUGUCAGGGUGAAGAAAGGUCUUCGGACUUGAUCGAUCCCAAAGGAAGGACCGGCUAACUUCGUGCCAGCAGCCGCGGUAAUACGAAGGGUCCAAGCGUUGUUCGGAAUUACUGGGCUUAAAGAGCACGUAGGCGGAAGGGUAAGUGUUUUGUGAAAUCCCACGGCUCAACCGUGGAAUUGCUUGGCAAACUACCUUUCUUGAGGCAGAUAGAGGUACAUGGAACUCUAGGUGGAGCGGUGAAAUGCGUAGAUAUCUAGAGGAACGCCAGUGGAGAAAUCGGUGUACUGGGUCUGUACUGACGCUGAGGUGCGAAAGCGUGGGGAGCGAACGGGAUUAGAUACCCCGGUAGUCCACGCUGUAAACGAUGUCUACUAGGUUGUAGGAGUUCUGACACUAAUGCAGCCGGAGCAAAAGUAUUAAGUAGACCGCCUGGGGAGUACGGUCGCAAGGCUAAAACUCAAAGGAAUUGACGGGGGCUCACACAAGCGGUGGAGCAUGUGGCUUAAUUCGAAGCAACGCGAAGAACCUUAUCCUGGGUUUGACAUGCAUGGAUGCCCAUCCUGAAAGGGAGUAGGCUGCCUUCGGGUGAAACUUGCACAGGUGCUGCAUGGCUGUCGUCAGCUCGUGUCGUGAGAUGUCGGGUUAAGUCCCUUAACGAGCGAAACCCUUAUCGUUAGUUGCCAGCGCGUAAUGGCGGGAACUCUAGCGAGACUGCCGGUGUUAAACCGGAGGAAGGCGGGGAUGACGUCAAGUCCUCAUGGCCUUUAUGCCCAGGGCUGCACACGUGCUACAAUGACGUAGACAGACCGACGCGAUACCGCGAGGUGGAGCAAAUCGGAAAAACUGCGUCUCAGUUCGGAUUGUAGGCUGCAACUCGCCUACAUGAAGUUGGAAUCGCUAGUAAUCGCAGAUCAGCUAUGCUGCGGUGAAUAUGUUCCUGAGCCUUGUACACACCGCCCGUCAAGUCACGGAAGCUGGGAGCACUUGAAGUCGGGUAGCUAACUUUAAUUAGAAGCGCCUGCCGAUGGUGAGUUCGGUAACUGGGGCUAAGUCGUAACAAGGUA